UACAGAGGGUGCAAGCGUUGUUCGGAAUUACUGGGCGUAAAGCGCGUGUAGGCUGCUUGGAAAGUCGGACGUGAAAUCCCUCGGCUUAACCGGGGAACUGCGUCCGAUACUGGAUGGCUCGAGUUUGGGAGAGGGAUGCGGAAUUCCAGGUGUAGCGGUGAAAUGCGUAGAUAUCUGGAGGAACACCGGUGGCGAAGGCGGCAUCCUGGACCAACACUGACGCUGAGGAGCGAAAGCCAGGGGAGCAAACGGG
This 253-nucleotide ribosomal RNA is filed under the name uncultured bacterium. RNAcentral describes it as "partial 16S ribosomal RNA". It matches the Rfam family "Bacterial small subunit ribosomal RNA", at positions 524 to 776 of the family's 1533-position model. The record is from RNAcentral.